This 386-nucleotide ribosomal RNA is filed under the name Leptolyngbya sp. KW1. Its description in RNAcentral is "bacterial SSU rRNA". It matches the Rfam family "Bacterial small subunit ribosomal RNA", at positions 355 to 756 of the family's 1533-position model. Lineage: Bacteria; Bacillati; Cyanobacteriota; Cyanophyceae; Leptolyngbyales; Leptolyngbyaceae. The record is from RNAcentral.
UGGGGAAUUUUCCGCAAUGGGCGAAAGCCUGACGGAGCAAUACCGCGUGAGGGAGGACGGCUUUUGGGUUGUAAACCUCUUUUAUCAGGGAAGAAUCGAUGACGGUACCUGAUGAAUCAGCAUCGGCUAACUCCGUGCCAGCAGCCGCGGUAAUACGGAGGAUGCAAGCGUUAUCCGGAAUUAUUGGGCGUAAAGCGUCCGUAGGUGGUUUAUCAAGUCUGCUGUCAAAGCGUGCGGCUUAACCGCAUAAGGGCAGUGGAAACUGAUGAACUAGAGUGCGAUAGGGGUAACAGGAAUUCCCAGUGUAGCGGUGAAAUGCGUAGAUAUUGGGAAGAACACCAGCGGCGAAAGCGUGUUACUGGGUCUGCACUGACACUGAGGGACGA